CACAGGGCUGGAACUCAUCUUCUCAUUCUCAUCUUUCAUUCUAAACCCUGUCAUGUCUCUAGCCUGCUGCCUGUCUGUCUGUCUGUGGUCUACAUCACUUUGAUUUUGAUCUCAUUUGUCUGAGUUGUAUUCUCAUUCCUAAAUGUUUUUUUAUGGCUAUCAAUGUUAUUUGUACCAUUGUGUGAUGUAUAUUGUCUGAUAUGUGGGUGUUUCAAAAGGCCUAUAGUUUGAGGUCCUAAGAAGUGGAGAUCCUAUAUGUGGGUGUUUCCUAAGGCCUAUAUUUUGAGGUCCUAAGAAGUGGAGAUCCUAUGUGUGGGGUUUUUCUAAGAUGACUUUCUUCCCUCCGCAGAAGAAAGGAAACCAGUUAUAGAACGUGUUGAGAAGACACGAGUCAAAGUUCCUGAAGCUGACCGCAGACCAGAGGAGAAACUCUCUGUAGCCCAGCCUCCUGUCCCUGUAGCACCGCCCCCUGUUCAAGUACCUGAAAUCAAGAAGCCUGAACCCCAAGUGAGCCCUGUUCCUUCGCGCAGAGAAGAGGAAACUGCAAUCCCAGAAGGUAACAUUACGGUAUAUUCCAUAUUCUUGGGAUAGAUACAUUAUCCAGCACACUUCAAGAUCACAGUUUGCUAUUGAAAUUCAAAUUAUUCUUAUCCACUCUUUACAUUACAUCUUGUAAUGGUUCUAUCUUGUCAUUAAUAUUGUCACUGCCUAGAGUGAAUCAC
RNAcentral lists this long non-coding RNA (722 nucleotides) under Gadus morhua (Atlantic cod). Its description in RNAcentral is "lncRNA (ENSGMOG00000029399.1)". Lineage: Eukaryota; Metazoa; Chordata; Actinopteri; Gadiformes; Gadidae. The record is from RNAcentral.